CGGAGAGGGAGCCUGAGAGACGGUCACCACAUCCAAGGAAGGCAGCAGGCACACAAAUUACCCAAUGUUGACACAAUGAGGUAGUAACAAUGAAUGACCAUGCUGGGACGUUACAGGUCUGACAACUGGAAUGAGAAUGAUGUAAACACGUUAUCAAGGACCAAUUGGAGGGCAAGUAUGGUGCCAGCAGCUGAGGUAAUUCCAGCCCCAAUAGCAUAUAUUAAAGUUGUUGCAGUUAACAAGAUCAUAGUUGGAUACUUGGCUUUAGUGGGGGUCCCACACAUGGUGUGGAUACCUCAUCGUCUUGGACCAUCCUUGGGGAUAGCCUGUGUGGCAUAAAGUUUCCAGACAGGGGAUUUCCAUCAUUUACUGUGAAGAAAUGAAAGUGUUCAAAACAGGCUUAUGCUGUUGAAUACACAAGCAUGGAAUAAUGAGAUAGGAUUUUGAUACUACUCUGCUGGUUUGCACAUCAAGGUAAUGAUCAAUAGGGACAGUUGGGGGUGUUCACAUUCAAUUGUCAGAGGUGAAAUUCUUGGAUUUCUGGAAGACGAACAACUGCUAAUGCAGUUACCAAGGAUGUGUUCAUUAAUGGAGAACAAGAGUUAGGGGAUCAAAGAUGAUUAGAUACCAUCAUAGUCUUAACCACAAACUAUGCCAACUAGGGAUCAGCGGUCAUUAUACAUGACUCUGUCAGCACCUUAUAAGAAAUUAAAGUGUUUGGGUUCCAGGGGGAGUAUGGUUGCAAGGCUGAACCUUAAAGAAACUGAUGGAAGGGCACCACCAGGAGUGGAGCAAGUGGCUUAGUUUGAUGCAACAUGGGAAAACUUACCAGGUCCAGACAUAGUGAGGAUUGACAGAUUGAGAUUUCUUCUUUGAUUCCAUGGGUGGUGUUUCAUGGGAAUUCUUAGUUGGUGGAGUGAUUUGUCUUGUUAAUUCCAUUAACGAACAAUGCCCCUGCCUACUAAAUCGUUUGGUGAAUGAGUUUUCAUUGACAAGAUAUUAUUAGAGGGACUUUUGGUGACUUACCAAAGGAAGUUGGGGAAAAUAACAGGUCUGUGAUGCCCU
RNAcentral lists this ribosomal RNA (1065 nucleotides) under Diatom endosymbiont ex foraminifera MH-2008. RNAcentral describes it as "bacterial SSU rRNA". It matches the Rfam family "Eukaryotic small subunit ribosomal RNA", at positions 384 to 1473 of the family's 1831-position model. The record is from RNAcentral. Lineage: Eukaryota; Bacillariophyta.